UACAGAGGUCCCAAGCGUUGUUCGGAUUCACUGGGCGUAAAGGGUGCGUAGGUGGUGAGGUAAGUCGGAUGUGAAAGCUCCGAGCUCAACUCGGAAAUGGCAUUGGAAACUACCUUGCUGGAGGGUUUGAGGGGGGACUGGAAUACUUGGUGUAGCAGUGAAAUGCGUAGAUAUCAAGUAGAACACCAGUGGCGAAGGCGAGUCCCUGGAAAACACCUGACACUGAGGCACGAAAGCUAGGGGAGCAAACGGG
This 253-nucleotide ribosomal RNA is filed under the name uncultured bacterium. Its description in RNAcentral is "partial 16S ribosomal RNA". It matches the Rfam family "Bacterial small subunit ribosomal RNA", at positions 524 to 776 of the family's 1533-position model. The record is from RNAcentral.